This is a non-coding RNA of Plasmodium knowlesi strain H, 107 nucleotides long. NCBI's taxonomy places the organism in Eukaryota, Apicomplexa, Aconoidasida, Haemosporida, Plasmodiidae. The record is from Rfam.
UUUCGAGAAUGAUGACAACGCUUCUCAUAUGUUCGCAGUUGAGAGUUCCAUUAGAACAACUCGAUGAAUUGUCUUUGUAGCCUUCACUUAGAUGUCUGACGCGGAAA